AGCAGCCGCGGUAAUUCCAGCUCCAAUAGCGUAUAUUAAAGUUGUUGCAGUUAAAAAGCUCGUAGUUGAAUUUCGGGAUCAAUACGUCGGUCGUGCUUCGGUACGUACUGGCGUAAUUGAUUUCUCCCUUCUGACGAACCAUGAUGUCAUUAACUUGGUGUCAUGGGAAAUCAGGACUGUUACUUUGAAAAAAUUAGAGUGUUUAAAGCAGGCUAACGCUUGAAUACAUUAGCAUAGAAUAAUGAAGUAGGACGUUAAAUCCUAUUUUGUUGGUUUCUAGGAUUGACAUAAUGAUUAAUAGGGAUAGUUGGGCAUUAGUAUUCAAUUGUCAGAUGUGAAAUUCUUGGAUUUAUUGAAGACUAACUACUGCGAAAGCAUUUACCAAGGAUGUUUUCAUUAAUCAAGAACGAAAGUUAGAGGAUCAAAAAUGAUC
This 433-nucleotide ribosomal RNA is filed under the name uncultured Glomeromycotina. RNAcentral's name for it is "SSU rRNA". It matches the Rfam family "Eukaryotic small subunit ribosomal RNA", at positions 569 to 1009 of the family's 1831-position model. Lineage: Eukaryota; Fungi; Glomeromycota. The record is from RNAcentral.